UACGGGGGGGGCAAGCGUUGUUCGGAAUUACUGGGCGUAAAGGGCUCGUAGGCGGCCAACUAAGUCCGACGUGAAAUCCCCAGGCUUAACCUGGGAACUGCGUCGGAUACUGGAUGGCUUGAAUCCGGGAGAGGGAUGCGGAAUUCCAGGUGUAGCGGUGAAAUGCGUAGAUAUCUGGAGGAACACCGGUGGCGAAGGCGGCAUCCUGGACCGGCAUUGACGCUGAGGAGCGAAAGCUAGGGGAGCAAACGGG
Molecule: ribosomal RNA, 253 nt
Filed under: uncultured bacterium
Lineage: Bacteria
Description: partial 16S ribosomal RNA
Rfam family: Bacterial small subunit ribosomal RNA
Source: RNAcentral